Molecule: non-coding RNA, 84 nt
Organism: Cronartium quercuum f. sp. fusiforme G11
Lineage: Eukaryota; Fungi; Basidiomycota; Pucciniomycetes; Pucciniales; Coleosporiaceae
Source: the annotation of a GenBank genome assembly
CCUGUGAUCGUCUAGUGGUUAGGACACCAGGUUUUGAUUCCUGGGGAUGUCCUGGUAACCUGGGUUCGACUCCCAGUCGCAGGU